UAGGGAAUCUUCCACAAUGGACGCAAGUCUGAUGGAGCAACGCCGCGUGAGUGAAGAAGGUUUUCGGAUCGUAAAGCUCUGUUGUUGGUGAAGAAGGAUAGAGGUAGUAACUGGCCUUUAUUUGACGGUAAUCAACCAGAAAGUCACGGCUAACUACGUGCCAGCAGCCGCAGUAAUACGUAGGUGGCAAGCGUUGUCCGGAUUUAUUGGGCGUAAAGCGAGCGCAGGCGGAAGAAUAAGUCUGAUGUGAAAGCCCUCGGCUUAACCGAGGAACUGCAUCGGAAACUGUUUUUCUUGAGUGAAGAAGAGGAGAGUGGAAUUCCAUGUGUAGCGGUGGAAUGCGUAGAUAUAUGGAAGAACACCAGUGGCGAAGGCGACUCUCUGGUCUGCAACUGACGCUGAGGCUCGAAAGCAUGGGUAGCGAACAGG
Molecule: ribosomal RNA, 429 nt
Filed under: bacterium
Lineage: Bacteria
Description: partial 16S ribosomal RNA
Rfam family: Bacterial small subunit ribosomal RNA
Source: RNAcentral